CAGAGGAGGAUUGAAUGCAGUGCAAAUAUUGCAAAUUGGAAAGCUCCAAUCAAGAGAUAUCUGAAAAAUGUCAUGGCAUCACCAGCAAAGACCUCCUGAAGACUUUCAAUGAGUGCCUUGAGAAUUAUGUGGCUCGCCUGCUCAGACUGUACCGGGCUAGAAAGGAAGCUAUUGGUCAGCAAAUAGAAGACUUCCUGGAUAAGCUUGAUGAACAAACAUCAGACAUUGUGUCUCACCGAAAGAUGACAGCACUGAGAUGCCUCCCCGUUUUUGUCUGGGACGACACAACUAAGUGUGGAGAGACGCAGCCGACGGGCCGACAGCGGGCGGACAGAGGCGUUCUGGACCAAGAUGAAGGCCAGGAGGCGGGGCAUGCGGCGUGACGCACGCGGAGCGGCAGGAGGACGGCAAUCGGAGUCAGGUGCGUAGGACACACAUCUGCUCACAAUCUGCGCAUCUGCUCCUAGACUUUAAGAGAGGCGAGGGGGGCACGAUUGCGAGAGGGAAGACAGGAAAGGAAAGGAAACCACGGCAGCCCGACCACGAGCCCGACGACAGAGAGCAGUCCGCAAUGAGUCCCUGCCACAGACGCAGCAGGCGAGCACCAAAGGGUGCAGAGCGACCAGGAAGAGGUGCCAGCGCACUAGAAAUGGGUGCGCCCGACUGGCCCGAAGAAAGGUUGAUUGAACCAAUAAAUGGGAAUCAAACCUGCUACGAUGCGUCGUGUGUUCAAUGUCACAGCAACCCACACGAGGACGGCUGGGAGUUUGUCACAUACGUUUUUCCUGCAGCAUUUGGAAAGUGACCCUGAAGAAAGAGUGCUCAGAGGCGUGUCUGUUGGCAUCCUUACAAUCCUUGAAGAAGAUGAUCCUGCUGUAUCACCCAACUUACGGGACUGGGCUGUUGUGUUGGAAGGUUCCAUGGUGCUACAUGACCUGCCAGACCUCGCUUGGCUCUCAGUGCGGCCCUGCGAUGAGGUGGCGACUUGUCCAGAGUGUACCCUGCCUGGCGCCCGAUUGUAGCUGAGAUAGGCGCCAGCGCCCCCCGUGACUCCAAAAGGGAAUAAGCGGUAGAAAAUGGAUGGAUGGAUGGGCUCUCAGCGGACAAGGUCUCUGAAAACAAAGCUUUUGCUGUGACUCUUAAUGUGGAAGCCAACCUAUGUUUUCUGCCUGUUCGAGUGCGUUGUGGUUGGUGCUCAUAUAAAACUUCACAGCCAGUGAUUUAAAACAUGCAAGGCCUCACGGAAAACAAUUAUAUUUAUUUUCAAAAUGUAUUUACAAUUAAGUGAGAUACACCAUUUUUAAAAAAAAUUUUUUUUUUCAAAAUAUAUUUAAAAUUGAGUGAGAUUCCCAAAACGCCAUUAUGCCACAUAACCCGCCAGAACUCGGUACUGCCAUUUGUUAUGUAGCAUAUUGGUAUUUUGUGAAUCUCACUUAAAUGUAGAUAUAUCUUUUUCUUUACAUUUAAGUGAAGUUGACAAGAGGUGCAUAUUCACUGUCAGCUGAUCAAGUUUGUCAACUCUUCUAAUUUACUAAACACAUUUUCUCUAUCUAUGAUGAUAAUUCUAUCAUCAAAUCAUUACACAAUUAUAUUGCCUGGCUGCUGUAAAAGCAUUUAUUUCUUAGCUUUUAACUUUCUUAGCUGGUUUAUUCACUUUAAAGAAAAUAGCUGGGAAAGUGUCAAGGUCUCUGACACCCAA
Molecule: long non-coding RNA, 1699 nt
Organism: Nerophis ophidion (straightnose pipefish)
Lineage: Eukaryota; Metazoa; Chordata; Actinopteri; Syngnathiformes; Syngnathidae
Exons: 5
Source: RefSeq, a predicted model, not a curated record